This 583-nucleotide ribosomal RNA is filed under the name Subramaniula cristata. Its description in RNAcentral is "eukaryotic LSU rRNA". It matches the Rfam family "Eukaryotic large subunit ribosomal RNA", at positions 1 to 595 of the family's 3401-position model. Lineage: Eukaryota; Fungi; Ascomycota; Sordariomycetes; Sordariales; Chaetomiaceae. The record is from RNAcentral.
UUGACCUCGGAUCAGGUAGGAAGACCCGCUGAACUUAAGCAUAUCAAUAAGCGGAGGAAAAGAAACCAACAGGGAUUGCCCUAGUAACGGCGAGUGAAGCGGCAACAGCUCAAAUUUGAAAUCUGGCUUCGGCCCGAGUUGUAAUUUGCAGAGGAAGCUUUAGGCGCGGCACUUUCUGAGUCCCCUGGAACGGGGCGCCAUAGAGGGUGAGAGCCCCGUAUAGUUAGAUGCCUAGCCUGUGUAAAGCUCCUUCGACGAGUCGAGUAGUUUGGGAAUGCUGCUCAAAAUGGGAGGUAAAUUUCUUCUAAAGCUAAAUACCGGCCAGAGACCGAUAGCGCACAAGUAGAGUGAUCGAAAGAUGAAAAGCACUUUGAAAAGAGGGUUAAAUAGCACGUGAAAUUGUUGAAAGGGAAGCGCUUGUGACCAGACUUGCGCCGGGCAGAUCAUCCGGUGUUCUCACCGGUGCACUCUGCCCGGCUCAGGCCAGCAUCGGUUCUCGCGGGGGGAUAAAGGCCCUGGGAACGUAGCUCCUCCGGGAGUGUUAUAGCCCGGGGCGUAAUGCCCUCGCGGGGACCGAGGUUCG